AAAGAGGUGCUUGGUGAUCCCUGCAAGAAGCAAACCCAAAGAUGGAUAUGGAGAAAGACCAAGAUGUGACCUUGUUUGUGUGCAAUGAUGCAAAUGAUAUAUGGGAUCUUAGGGUUAAAAAUUAGGGUAGGACAAUAGGGUUGAAAGAGUCUUGUUUGGAGUUGUGUGAGAUUGAAUAACUAUAGUUGUGAUAUUUCAUUCAAAAGUUGGCAGAAAAAGAAAAAAAAUAUAUGUAGAAAAAGAAGAAGAAAAAAAUGGAAAAAAUAAAGAAAGAUGUCAUUACAUUUUCUUUCUGAAAAAAAGAGAGAAUAAAAAGUUAAAAGAGAA
RNAcentral lists this long non-coding RNA (327 nucleotides) under Lathyrus oleraceus (garden pea). RNAcentral's name for it is "Pisum sativum (pea) long non-coding RNA (PSAT_LNC036537)". Lineage: Eukaryota; Viridiplantae; Streptophyta; Magnoliopsida; Fabales; Fabaceae. The record is from RNAcentral.